AGGAUCAUUAUUGAAAUAAAUCUGAUAAGUUGCUGCUGGNNNNCUAGGGAGCAUGUGCACACUUGUUAUCUUUGUAUCUUNACCUGUGCACCUUUUGUGGACCUGGGAAUCUCUCUGAAAGCUUUAGUUAGCACUCAGGAUUGAGAAUUGGCUAGAUGUCUUUUCUUACAUUUUCAGGUUUAUGUUUUUUCAUAUACCCUAAUGUAUGUUCAUAGAAUGAAAUUAAUGGGCCUUUUGUGCCUAUAAACAUUUACAACUUUCAGCAACGGAUCUCUUGGCUCUCGCAUCGAUGAAGAACGCAGCGAAAUGCGAUAAGUAAUGUGAAUUGCAGAAUUCAGUGAAUCAUCGAAUCUUUGAACGCACCUUGCGCUCCUUGGUAUUCCGAGGAGCAUGCCUGUUUGAGUGUCAUUAAUAUCUAUCAACCUUUUAUGGUUGGAUGUGGGCUUGCUGGUUUUUCUUGAGGUCAGCUUCCCUUAAAUGCAUUAGCGGACAACAUUUUGCCAACUGUUCAUUGGUGUGAUAAAAUUAUCUACGCUAUUGACGUGAAGCAAGGUUCAGCUUCUAGCAGUCCAUUGACUUGGACAAAUUUAUUUUAUUAAUGUGACCUC
This 608-nucleotide ribosomal RNA is filed under the name uncultured Cortinarius. RNAcentral describes it as "eukaryotic LSU rRNA". The stretch from base 255 to 408 matches the Rfam family "5.8S ribosomal RNA". The record is from RNAcentral. Lineage: Eukaryota; Fungi; Basidiomycota; Agaricomycetes; Agaricales; Cortinariaceae.